Molecule: non-coding RNA, 78 nt
Organism: Haemonchus contortus (barber pole worm)
Lineage: Eukaryota; Metazoa; Nematoda; Chromadorea; Rhabditida; Trichostrongylidae
Source: Rfam
GUUGUGCGGCAGCAUAGGACUGAACUGUGGGAGAACUUAUAUGACUCUAUCCCUUUCCAUUCUUAUGCUGCUUUGGAG